GUGCUCACUUGGGCUGCACGGAUGCUAAAACUGGAAGGAUACAGGGAUUAGCAUGGCCCCUGUGCAAGGAUGACUCGCAAAUUCGUGAAGCAUUAAAAAAAAAA
This 104-nucleotide small nuclear RNA is filed under the name Castor canadensis (American beaver). The record is from RNAcentral. Lineage: Eukaryota; Metazoa; Chordata; Mammalia; Rodentia; Castoridae.